AAGCAAAGACUUCUCAAAAACAACAUAUAAAAAAAGCAUGUUAACAAUGGUACAGAUUCAACACGAAUGUAUGGAGAUCAUACAACAAUGUCAAACUAUGAGUAUGAAUUCGUGUCAUCGCAAUGGAAAGAUUAUCACCGCACCCACUAGGCAGAUGUCCACUUGGCAUAUGGCAAGCAACACGUUCAAACGUAGCUGAGAAUUGUCCCAUCCAGGGAAAUCUUUUGGAUAAUCCAUCUCAGCCCAGUAACUGAGGUCACUAUUUGCAGUUAUAACUUGAAGAGACAUCUUUACCACUUAUUCCCUGCGAUAAAUGACUCAAUUGGUUUAGAAUACUCGAGUACUUACGCUUUGUGCAAUUAGAUAUGGAAAUAACAUAUUUGAAGACAUGGAUAUUCUUCGCAAUGAUUGCACGCCAAUUCAUAGAUGGGGCAGAAGAAUACUUUAUCGCGCCGACAGCUUGGUAUUAUAUCAAAUCUCUGGGACAGAAUAUGCUUUUCCUCGGACUUGUCAUGUCUGCUUUCCAAUUUAGUGCACUCCCGUCCAGCCCUAUCCUCGGCGAAUUGGCGGAUAGAGUUGGAUACAGUAGAUGUAUUAUUAUCGUCAGCCUGUUUUUGAAGUUUGUUGCAUAUAUAUUGUAUGCAAUUCCAGUCUCGGCAUAUUUUCCACUGGUUGGGAGAAUUUUGGGUGGGCUCACUGAUGGUUCUAUCGGGGUCGUCUAUGGGCAAAUAAUAUUGUACACACCACAGAAACAUCGAACACAAGUCUUCUUAAUAUUGGAUGGAGUGUUUACCGUGGGCACCCUCUUGGGCCCUGCAGUCAGCGUGUUUUUGAUAUUUAAUGUGAAUAUCUUCGGCUGGAAGAUCGACGCUGGUAACUCCCCUGGAAUUGUUCUUGCACUUUUAUGGUUGGGAAUGUUUGUAGUCUCUCUGUGGUUUCCCAGUGAGUUUGGAUCAACGAAGGUUACAGUUGAUAAUAGUGAUCAAGACCAACAUAUGGUUGUUGACGGCCAUGAUAAUGAUGGUGGUGGUGGUGAUGGGUUUGAUAGAG
Molecule: unclassified non-coding RNA, 1050 nt
Filed under: Dendronephthya gigantea
Lineage: Eukaryota; Metazoa; Cnidaria; Anthozoa; Malacalcyonacea; Nephtheidae
Description: uncharacterized LOC114533382, transcript variant X3
Source: RNAcentral